AAAAAAAAAAGAAAAAAAAAGGUUGGAAUUGCUGGAGUGAAGAUGGAUGUUGUGUACUGUGGCAGUGUCUAAACUACAAAAAAACAAAAUAAAUAAUAAAAUAUCAGUAUUUAUAUGGUUUACGCUUUCUACAUAGGAUUACAUCCACGAGCAUGCCAUCUUUUACUAUUAAUAAAUAAUAAAUCAUUUAUCACAAGCUCAAAUUAUAUUACCUAUUAAUCCAAUUACACCUAAAAGAUCACUACUACAAGCUGUUUAUCGUAAAUACAUUAGUUAGUUUUCUCAGUCUCUUUUAAACAUAAUGUAAUAUAUUUACUACUACAACUGCUACACUACAAAGAGUGUCUUUAACUGCCAUGGCCUAUAAUCCAUUUCUCUUGUAUUAUGCCUUUUCUCCAUCUUAGGCCUAAGCCUCUUUCCCUGGACAAGGGCCACUCAUCAAUGGGCAAAGCCAAAUCCUCAGUAAUUGGUAAAGUCAAAUCCUUAGUAAUUGGCAAAGUCCUUCUCUGCAUUGGGCAACAGCCUCACUCUAUAAGUUAAAAGUCACUCUCUUCAAUGGGCCAAGCCACUCUUCAUAGUCCAAGUCACUUUUCGUGGGUAAAGUCAAAUAAUAUUUUCACAAUACUCCUAUUUAUACUGUUAAUCCCCUCAAUUCUAAUCUAAUUAGGAGUUUCACUCAAUUUAGGAAUAACACUA
This 696-nucleotide unclassified non-coding RNA is filed under the name Hevea brasiliensis (rubber tree). The record is from RNAcentral. Lineage: Eukaryota; Viridiplantae; Streptophyta; Magnoliopsida; Malpighiales; Euphorbiaceae.